AAAAAGCAUGAUUUUGUGCAAUUGAUGAAAUAUCAAGGCUUGGAGCAUUAGUGGCUCCAUUAAUGGGGGCAAAUGACAUGGCAAAAGCCUGAGAAGUUUCAACCCCGACCUUAGAGCCCUGUGGCUGUGACUGCUGCUGUUUCUUUUCACCAGGAUUGCCACUUGCAGUAGUGGCACCACCCACUGUUGGUGGAGUCAUCAAAGCAAAGUUUGGUGGGUGUAUGGGCAUUGCAAAAUUCUGACCAUAAAUACUCAUAUUUGCACGAGAGACUCGACUAUCAGCAGUCGAAGGACUAUCUUCACCACCUAAUUCACUCUCAAGUUGCCGAGCUUGAUGAAGGACAUUCUGGUUCUGCAUUUGCUGCCGCUGUUGAAGCUGCAAUGAUGAUGGUUGCUGGUGUUUCGAGUUGGGAAAGCCUUGCAAAUUUC
RNAcentral lists this unclassified non-coding RNA (429 nucleotides) under Hevea brasiliensis (rubber tree). Lineage: Eukaryota; Viridiplantae; Streptophyta; Magnoliopsida; Malpighiales; Euphorbiaceae. The record is from RNAcentral.